Molecule: long non-coding RNA, 891 nt
Organism: Bactrocera neohumeralis
Lineage: Eukaryota; Metazoa; Arthropoda; Insecta; Diptera; Tephritidae
Exons: 2
Source: RefSeq, a predicted model, not a curated record
UAUUUGUUUUAAAUAUGUAGUAAAUACAGUUAGUCACUCUAACUCAGUCACUGUAGACACUGCACUCACUUUGUAUUAAUUUUAAUAAAUACAAUUUAAGAAAUUCCACAGGACAAUACAAAAAUACUGAUAAUUUUUUCUGUCGGGCGACACAAUCAAAAUAAAAACCAAUUCUCAGUAAUGGUCUUAUGAAAUUAUAAAAAAAAAGUAGUAAAUAAUAAAUAUUUCGCAGCGCUCUGAGAAAUUUGUGUUCACUUUGAAAUUGUUGUCGUUAAACUGUUUAUGCAUCGCAAAAAUUCGCCCAUUUAACUUUCAGCUGAUAAGAAAGUCAACAACGAUGACGGUGUAAAUAAAUAAAGCACAGACGCAUGCAAUCAGUAGACGUCGGUGGUUUGCAGGAAAUCUGCAGUUGAGGUCUCCACCCUUUAAAUCGAAUUCCUAAAACAAUUAUUAUAAUGAACGAAAUGCGCACCAAUUCGCCUGUGUUUGGGAUUUUACACCGCAAUUUCGAUUAUGUUUAUAGAAAAUAUUUAUUAUCGAGAUAGGAAUACCAAUAAAUUUAGCUAUGACACCCCUUAUCAGGAGAAAACACCCCAACAAAUUGUGCGGCCAGACAACAGCUUGCAAAUGAAAUAAAAUACUCGAACGCGAGAGGUGAUCCCUGGUGACACAAUAGGCGCCACUAUAAUAAAAUUACUUAAUAUAUACCCAUACAUAUAUAGGUAUAUAAAAUGUAUGUAUAUGUAUGUAUAUUAUGGUAUAUUUAUGCAAUAAAUUUGUGUAGAUAUGUACGUUUGUUUACGAGUUAGUGGGAAUGACCGAUAGGCGACGUAAUUGAAACUGUUAUUUUGCAAUUUAAAUUAUGACAAAUAAAUCAUUUUAGAGCCUCUA